GAUGAACGCUAGCUACAGGCUUAACACAUGCAAGUCGAGGGGGAACGGCAUUAAGUGCUUGCACUUUUUGGACGUCGACCGGCGCACGGGUGAGUAACGCGUAUCCAACCUUCCCAUGACUAAGGGAUAACCUGCCGAAAGGCAGACUAAUACCUUAUGGUCUUCACUGACGGCAUCAGAUGUGAAGUAAAGAUUUAUCGGUUAUGGAUGGGGAUGCGUCUGAUUAGUUAGUUGGCGGGGUAACGGCCCACCAAGGCAACGAUCAGUAGGGGUUCUGAGAGGAAGGUCCCCCACAUUGGAACUGAGACACGGUCCAAACUCCUACGGGAGGCAGCAGUGAGGAAUAUUGGUCAAUGGGCGAGAGCCUGAACCAGCCAAGUAGCGUGCAGGAUGACGGCCCUAUGGGUUGUAAACUGCUUUUGUAUGGGGAUAAAGUCAAUCACGUGUGAUUGUUUGCAGGUACCAUACGAAUAAGGACCGGCUAAUUCCGUGCCAGCAGCCGCGGUAAUACGGAAGGUCCGGGCGUUAUCCGGAUUUAUUGGGUUUAAAGGGAGCGUAGGCUGGAGAUUAAGUGUGUUGUGAAAUGUAGACGCUCAACGUCUGACUUGCAGCGCAUACUGGUUUCCUUGAGUACGCACAACGUUGGCGGAAUUCGUCGUGUAGCGGUGAAAUGCUUAGAUAUGACGAAGAACUCCGAUUGCGAAGGCAGCUGACGGGAGCGCAACUGACGCUGAAGCUCGAAGGUGCGGGUAUCGAACAGG
This 761-nucleotide ribosomal RNA is filed under the name Prevotella melaninogenica. RNAcentral describes it as "bacterial SSU rRNA". It matches the Rfam family "Bacterial small subunit ribosomal RNA", at positions 28 to 776 of the family's 1533-position model. The record is from RNAcentral. Lineage: Bacteria; Pseudomonadati; Bacteroidota; Bacteroidia; Bacteroidales; Prevotellaceae.